GCGUAAAGGGUGGUAGGUUGUAGGGUUUAUGUUAUAAUUGAAAGACUGGUCAAAAAGCUUUGCUGAAGGUUAUUUUAAACGCUACUAGAGUUUUGGUAGGGGUUAGGAGGGACUUGCCAGGGAGACGUGAAAUGUGUAGAUCUGCCGGGGACGUCAUUGCGAAAGCAUCACCCAUUCUUUAACUGACAUGAGGCACGAAGGUAUGAGUAUCGAGCUGGAUUAGAGACCCAAGUAGUUCAUACGGUAAACGCUGAUGGUUAAAGUUAGUGAUCCAAAAACUUAUAUUUUUGUAUAAGUAAGAGCUUAAAAAACGAAGCUCGUAGAUUUGAUGAUUGUGGCUUUCUAGCUAACGCGCUAAACCAUCCGCCUGAGUUGUAGGCCGCAAGGCUAAAACCCAAAGGAAUUGACGGCAACUUGUACAAGG
Molecule: ribosomal RNA, 424 nt
Filed under: Reticularia jurana
Lineage: Eukaryota; Evosea; Eumycetozoa; Liceales; Reticulariaceae
Description: partial small subunit ribosomal RNA
Rfam family: Bacterial small subunit ribosomal RNA
Source: RNAcentral